GAUUAACGCUGGCGGCGUGCAUAACACAUGCAAGUCGAACGAUGAAACUUAGUAGACUUCUUCGGAAAGACACUAAGCGGAUUAGUGGCUAACGGGUUAGUAACGCGUGAGUAACCUGCCUUACACAAGGGGAUAGCCUUUGGAAACGAAGAAUAAUACCCUAUAAAACCAUAAAAGCACAUGCUAGAAUGGUCAAAGUGAUAGCGGUGUAAGAUGGACUUGCGUCUGAUUAGCUAGUUGGUGAGAUAAAAGCUCACCAAGGCAACGACCAGUAGCCGGCUUGAGAGAGUGUACGGCCACAUUGGGACUGAGACACGGCCCAGACUCCUACGGGAGGCAGCAGUGGGGAAUUUUGCACAAUGGGGGAAACCCUGAUGCAGCGACGCCGCGUGAUUUAGAAGGCCUUCGGGUUGUAAAAAUCUUUUGUAUAGGAAGAAAAUGACAGUACUAUAAGAAUAAGGUCCGGCUAAUUACGUG
RNAcentral lists this ribosomal RNA (477 nucleotides) under uncultured bacterium. Its description in RNAcentral is "partial 16S ribosomal RNA". It matches the Rfam family "Bacterial small subunit ribosomal RNA", at positions 28 to 507 of the family's 1533-position model. The record is from RNAcentral.